UAUAUUUUGGUGUAUGUUGCACAAAGAAUUUUGAUUUCUUUGGUUUUAGUUAAAUUCUAAAAAAUAUAA
Molecule: transfer RNA, 69 nt
Filed under: Paraplea frontalis
Lineage: Eukaryota; Metazoa; Arthropoda; Insecta; Hemiptera; Pleidae
Description: tRNA-Gln
Source: RNAcentral